Strigops habroptila (Kakapo) is the source of this 675-nucleotide long non-coding RNA. RefSeq lists it as uncharacterized. The record is from RefSeq and is a predicted model, not a curated record. Lineage: Eukaryota; Metazoa; Chordata; Aves; Psittaciformes; Psittacidae. The transcript is spliced from 3 exons.
UGUGAGUCCGUGGGGUUUGGAUCAUCUCGCGUGGGAAAUCCCUCAGUACUCUGCUCAUUUCACUGACAGGCAGCUCAUGCCUCCGCAUGACAAAACAGAGACAGACCCUUUGCAAAGCAUGAUGGAGGAGGAUGUUCUGAUCCUGAUCCAAAUUUUUCUCACAAUAACGUCAUCUGACUGGUUUAGCCCUCCAGAUGGGACAGGCUCUUACAUCCAGCACAGGGAUAUGAUGUAUAAGCAUCUAGAAACCACUUUUUUGUUAGUUCAAGGCAAAACCUGCUCCCAUCCUCCUCAGUUUUAUAUGUGUUUAAUUCCAGUGAUCCAGUUUCUGCAUGGCAUUAACCAUCGCCACACUUGAGUCUUCCCAGAUGAGGAGCUAUUUCAUACCUUCCAGCUGAAAGACACCUGACUUAGCAGGCAAAGUUCCUCUGUCUGGUUCAGCACCUGGUCACACCAAGUUUUCCUGGCACAAAUGAGUGGAAAGAACACUUUGGCACGGAGGGAAAUGAGCCACAGAGGGCAAAAGAUAUCUUGGCAGACACUUCCAAUCUAUGCCCUUAUCUCCCAGUCUCCAGCCAUCUUCAAAGGUUUUCCAGCUUCUCGUGUUUUGCAAGUGGGCCCUGCAGCCCACUGGUGUUGAAAAUGUGUGAAUGAAUAGGAUCAUCGGAGUUGAAU